This is a long non-coding RNA of Dermacentor albipictus, 333 nucleotides long. RefSeq lists it as uncharacterized. NCBI's taxonomy places the organism in Eukaryota, Metazoa, Arthropoda, Arachnida, Ixodida, Ixodidae. The record is from RefSeq and is a predicted model, not a curated record.
GUCGUCGUCGCAUCUCUUUUCUUUGCAUCGAUCCUAGAGCUCUCAAGUCGAAGAUAUGGGCGGCUUGCUUGGGAAAUACCUCUUCGGGGUGAUUGCUGCCGUACUCGCUACGCUGAUUGUGGCCCCAAAUGAAGCUGGGGCAAUUCCACCUAUUGGCCUCGAUACUCUUAUAAAGGCCAUAGGACGAAAUGAAGACAAUGUCGAGUAACGAAGCAUCAGUGUUCGGGAUACAGUGCUGCUGGUUUGCGGUCUAUUGACGACACCUGCUACGGAAGUGAAUGAAAUGAACGAAGCAAGAAAUGCCCUGGAAUGAAUAAACAGUAUAUUAUUGGA